UUAAGUUAUUAAGGGCGCACGGUGGAUGCCUUGGCACUAGAAGCCGAUGAAGGACGUUACUAACGACGAUAUGCUUUGGGGAGCUGUAAGUAAGCUUUGAUCCAGAGAUUUCCGAAUGGGGAAACCCAGCAUGAGUUAUGUCAUGUUAUCGAUAUGUGAAUACAUAGCAUAUCAGAAGGCACACCCGGAGAACUGAAACAUCUUAGUACCCGGAGGAAGAGAAAGAAAAUUCGAUUCCCUUAGUAGCGGCGAGCGAAACGGGAAGAGCCCAAACCAACAAGCUUGCUUGUUGGGGUUGUAGGACACUCUAUACGGAGUUACAAAGGACGACAUUAGACGAAUCAUCUGGAAAGAUGAAUCAAAGAAGGUAAUAAUCCUGUAGUCGAAAAUGUUGUCUCUCUUGAGUGGAUCCUGAGUACGACGGAGCACGUGAAAUUCCGUCGGAAUCUGGGAGGACCAUCUCCUAAGGCUAAAUACUCUCUAGUGACCGAUAGUGAACCAGUACCGUGAGGGAAAGGUGAAAAGCACCCCGGAAGGGGAGUGAAAUAGAACCUGAAACCGUGUGCUUACAAGUAGUCAGAGCCCGUUAAUGGGUGAUGGCGUGCCUUUUGUAGAAUGAACCGGCGAGUUACGAUUUGAUGCAAGGUUAAGCAGUAAAUGUGGAGCCGUAGCGAAAGCGAGUCUGAAUAGGGCGUUUAGUAUUUGGUCGUAGACCCGAAACCAGGUGAUCUACCCUUGGUCAGGUUGAAGUUCAGGUAACACUGAAUGGAGGACCGAACCGACUUACGUUGAAAAGUGAGCGGAUGAACUGAGGGUAGCGGAGAAAUUCCAAUCGAACCUGGAGAUAGCUGGUUCUCUCCGAAAUAGCUUUAGGGCUAGCCUCAAGUGAUGAUUAUUGGAGGUAGAGCACUGUUUGGACGAGGGGCCCCUCUCGGGUUACCGAAUUCAGACAAACUCCGAAUGCCAAUUAAUUUAACUUGGGAGUCAGAACAUGGGUGAUAAGGUCCGUGUUCGAAAGGGAAACAGCCCAGACCACCAGCUAAGGUCCCAAAAUAUAUGUUAAGUGGAAAAGGAUGUGGCGUUGCCCAGACAACUAGGAUGUUGGCUUAGAAGCAGCCAUCAUUUAAAGAGUGCGUAAUAGCUCACUAGUCGAGUGACACUGCGCCGAAAAUGUACCGGGGCUAAACAUAUUACCGAAGCUGUGGAUUGUCCUUUGGACAAUGGUAGGAGAGCGUUCUAAGGGCGUUGAAGCAUGAUCGUAAGGACAUGUGGAGCGCUUAGAAGUGAGAAUGCCGGUGUGAGUAGCGAAAGACGGGUGAGAAUCCCGUCCACCGAUUGACUAAGGUUUCCAGAGGAAGGCUCGUCCGCUCUGGGUUAGUCGGGUCCUAAGCUGAGGCCGACAGGCGUAGGCGAUGGAUAACAGGUUGAUAUUCCUGUACCACCUAUAAUCGUUUUAAUCGAUGGGGGGACGCAGUAGGAUAGGCGAAGCGUGCGAUUGGAUUGCACGUCUAAGCAGUAAGGCUGAGUAUUAGGCAAAUCCGGUACUCAUUAAGGCUGAGCUGUGAUGGGGAGAAGACAUUGUGUCUUCGAGUCGUUGAUUUCACACUGCCGAGAAAAGCCUCUAGAUAGAAAAUAGGUGCCCGUACCGCAAACCGACACAGGUAGUCAAGAUGAGAAUUCUAAGGUGAGCGAGCGAACUCUCGUUAAGGAACUCGGCAAAAUGACCCCGUAACUUCGGGAGAAGGGGUGCUCUUUAGGGUUAACGCCCAGAAGAGCCGCAGUGAAUAGGCCCAAGCGACUGUUUAUCAAAAACACAGGUCUCUGCUAAACCGUAAGGUGAUGUAUAGGGGCUGACGCCUGCCCGGUGCUGGAAGGUUAAGAGGAGUGGUUAGCUUCUGCGAAGCUACGAAUCGAAGCCCCAGUAAACGGCGGCCGUAACUAUAACGGUCCUAAGGUAGCGAAAUUCCUUGUCGGGUAAGUUCCGACCCGCACGAAAGGCGUAACGAUUUGGGCACUGUCUCAACGAGAGACUCGGUGAAAUCAUAGUACCUGUGAAGAUGCAGGUUACCCGCGACAGGACGGAAAGACCCCGUGGAGCUUUACUGUAGCCUGAUAUUGAAAUUCGGCACAGCUUGUACAGGAUAGGUAGGAGCCUUUGAAACGUGAGCGCUAGCUUACGUGGAGGCGCUGGUGGGAUACUACCCUAGCUGUGUUGGCUUUCUAACCCGCACCACUUAUCGUGGUGGGAGACAGUGUCAGGCGGGCAGUUUGACUGGGGCGGUCGCCUCCUAAAAGGUAACGGAGGCGCUCAAAGGUUCCCUCAGAAUGGUUGGAAAUCAUUCAUAGAGUGUAAAGGCAUAAGGGAGCUUGACUGCGAGACCUACAAGUCGAGCAGGGUCGAAAGACGGACUUAGUGAUCCGGUGGUUCCGCAUGGAAGGGCCAUCGCUCAACGGAUAAAAGCUACCCCGGGGAUAACAGGCUUAUCUCCCCCAAGAGUUCACAUCGACGGGGAGGUUUGGCACCUCGAUGUCGGCUCAUCGCAUCCUGGGGCUGUAGUCGGUCCCAAGGGUUGGGCUGUUCGCCCAUUAAAGCGGUACGCGAGCUGGGUUCAGAACGUCGUGAGACAGUUCGGUCCCUAUCCGUCGUGGGCGUAGGAAAUUUGAGAGGAGCUGUCCUUAGUACGAGAGGACCGGGAUGGACAUACCUCUGGUGUACCAGUUGUCGUGCCAACGGCAUAGCUGGGUAGCUAUGUGUGG
This 2757-nucleotide ribosomal RNA is filed under the name Staphylococcus aureus. RNAcentral's name for it is "bacterial LSU rRNA". It matches the Rfam family "Bacterial large subunit ribosomal RNA". The record is from RNAcentral. Lineage: Bacteria; Bacillati; Bacillota; Bacilli; Caryophanales; Staphylococcaceae.